RNAcentral lists this unclassified non-coding RNA (2002 nucleotides) under Leishmania donovani. RNAcentral describes it as "gene:LdHU3.35.5140(CDS-product:Sperm-tail_PG-rich _repeat_putative)". The record is from RNAcentral. Lineage: Eukaryota; Euglenozoa; Kinetoplastea; Trypanosomatida; Trypanosomatidae.
CGUCGAUAAACCUUUGUUUUGCAGUGGAGUUUCUUCCGGGCGAACAAAGAAAUCAGGGCUAGCUGUUGUGAAAAUUUCCAUCUGUCACGUCUUUUUUUCCCAAAGGAUAAGCUGCGGCAGCCGUUCUUUUUUCCCUUUACCUAGUCACCCUACCUUGUGCUUCUUGCUCUCCUCACCGUUGCCUUGCGGAGUCCCCACUAAGGAAAACAAUAUCUUUGCUGCUCCGGUAUCGCUUUGUGUCGGGUUUCCAAGCGCCUCAGUGCCCUUGCCCGUCAUGGAGGAACUCCCCUUGCUCCGAGCCAAGGAGAAUCAAGUGAGGGAGACAACAGGGCCGUCUGUAGGACCGGGGUCUUACGAUCUAGAUAAGCGGGCCGUUGCCAACUUUAGUCGUGCACCUUUCAACAGCACCAGUCUUCGACAGAAUCUCCUGUCUGCCGACCGCGAGUUUCCUGGGCCUGGUGCAUACAACAUUCUCGCGGCACCGAACAGCCGGACUUUCGGGUUGGGGUCACAGCCCUUUGUGUCGGAAUCUUCUCGCUUUGUCGCAGCAAACUGCAACGACACCCCUGGCCCUGGCUCCUACGAUGUCACGAAUUAUGGGAUCACCCGCAAGAAUCCAAGAUCAUACACGUUUUCUGGACCAUAUGAGAGCGCACUCGACAGCGGGCUUGCUGGGAGCAUCGGCCCCGGCAGCUACAACCCCAACUACGCCGCUGCAGACCGCAGGUUUCCGAAAGCGGCCGAAUUUGCCAAGUACAGUGGCCGGAAGCCAAUGAGACCACCAGCGGGCCCAGGCCCGGGAAGCUACGAUCCACUGUUAGAGCCACGAUCGCUUGCCGCAAUGAAGCCCUCUUCAGUGUUUGUAACGAAAACCAAGAGAUCUCUGUGUGGUAUCAACGGCCUCGGCGAUUCUCCUGGGCCCGGCGCUUACGAGAUAGGGAUGGACUCAGAGCGAGGCGGAACGAUUCCGCGCGAGUAUUUCUCAGCCUUUGGCUCAUCCUCUUCUCGGUUCUUCCACGGAAAGGAGGGCGAUGCGCCCGGACCCGGUGCGUACACAGGGGAGAUUGCUCCGCGUCGUUUUGGCCGGAGCGCCGGAAGCAGCUCUGCCGCUUUCGUUUCAGCCUACCAACGUUUUCCAGGUUUGAUGGCGGCGCCGACGCCGGGUCCGGGAACCUACGACGCACGACGCCCACGCCGGCACCAGUAUUUUGGCGAGCCCAUGCCGUUUGGAUCAACAGUACCCCGAUUCAGCCCGGUGUGGUCGCAUCACCCUCAAUCGGAGCCGCUCACCUUUUCGGGAGACCCCUACAGCGGCCGGUCCCCGAGCAAGCGAAAGUUGCGUUCUUUCAUGCCAGGAAAGAUCCAGCCAUCGAGCGCGCCACCUCCACUGCAGGACCGGUCGUAUGAUGUGCGAUACGACUGGCCGAAGCCGUCGUCUACGGUGAACACCACAUUUGGCGCCUCGGAACGUCCGCCUCUUCACUGCACCAAUGCAGUUCCUGGCCCAGGCAGCUACUGUGAGUUGGGUGACACAGCUCCUGCUAGCCGCCGCUACGGCAACUCCAACUGGGGCCGCGAUGUGCGGUUCACCGAGGUGGCGCCGCUUUCAGGAGCGCCGGAUCCUGGCAAGUACUAUCGCGCCAGCACCUUUCUCAAGAAGACCUUCAAUUCCACAAUUGGCUCCGACACUGUGUGGAUUGAGUAGCGGCUGCUGCGUCGUGCUGUGUCUUUGCUUGCGCGGGAACUGGAUGUAAAAUAACGACUGCCGAGGUGCAGAACAGGAGCGCGAGAAUGCUUUGCUGUGCGACACGGUGAAAAGCGUCACAGUGUGAUGAGAAGAUGGAGGCCUGUCGCGAAUUGGGGAAAAAAGGGUGACACUGUUGCCGCUCUCUGCGAUAGACAGAUGAUCGCGCAUGUACAUUAUGUUCUCUCCGUGUCACCUGUUUUUCUUUUUUUGUUCUGUCCCUGUUCUCUGCACAGGCAAGCAUACCUGCCACCUUCG